Molecule: ribosomal RNA, 417 nt
Filed under: Leptospiraceae bacterium
Lineage: Bacteria; Pseudomonadati; Spirochaetota; Leptospiria; Leptospirales; Leptospiraceae
Description: partial 23S ribosomal RNA
Rfam family: Bacterial large subunit ribosomal RNA
Source: RNAcentral
GGUCAAGUAAGAAAGGGCAUACGGGGGAUGCCAUUGGCAUCAGGAGGCGAGGAAGGACGUGGUUUGCUGCGAUAAGCGACGGGGAGUUGUAAACAAGCCUUGAUCCGUCGAUUUCCGAAUGGGAGAACCCAUUAAGCUAUGAUUUAUCAUAGCGGCGAUACCUGGGGAAUUGAAACAUCUAAGUACCCGGAGGAAGAGAAAGAAACAUCGAUUUCGUAAGUAGCGGUGAGCGAAAGCGAAGGAGCCUAAACCUUUGUCUAUGUUAAAGGACUGGACCGUUGUAGCGAAGGUGUUGUAGGACUUACGUGCACAGGCUAGUGAGUGCGAUAGAGUUAAAAAGUUUGCGGAUAUCAGAAUGGUAUUGGGAAAGCCAACCAUAGAGGGUGAGAGUCCCGUAAGUUAAAUCCGUGAAUCUCU